UGCGCAGGUGGUUGUGUAAGCUUGAUGUGAAAUCCCCGGGCUCAACCUGGGAACUGCAUUGAGGACUGCACGGCUAGAGUGUGGCAGAGGGGGGUAGAAUUCCACGUGUAGCAGUGAAAUGCGUAGAGAUGUGGAGGAAUACCAAUGGCGAAGGCAGCCCCCUGGGUUAACACUGACACUCAUGCACGAAAGCGUGGGGAGCAAACAGGAUUAGAUACCCUGGUAGUCCACGCCCUAAACGAUGUCUACUAGUUGUUGGGAAGGGAGACCUUCUUAGUAACGCAGCUAACGCGUGAAGUAGACCGCCUGGGGAGUACGGUCGCAAGAUUAAA
RNAcentral lists this ribosomal RNA (332 nucleotides) under uncultured bacterium. Its description in RNAcentral is "bacterial SSU rRNA". It matches the Rfam family "Bacterial small subunit ribosomal RNA", at positions 568 to 898 of the family's 1533-position model. The record is from RNAcentral.